GGUAACAGGAAGUUGCCGCUCCGCCGUGCACUGAAAUCCGAGGCCACGCCCGCGUUGAGCUUCUAUACCACUCUUGUUUUCAGAAGCGACCUGCCCACAACAACAACAACAAGCCCGUGUGAUGAAUUUGGGACACUUUUUCACUAUAUCAUGAAUAUAUGAAUAAGUAUCCAGAAGAACCUCGGAGAUCGAAUGCACCCGAACUCGAACAAAUCGGUGUUCAAACGUUAUUUCCGAACAUUUUUUGCCCCGGAAACCAAACGAAAUUUGGAGGUCGAACGGGCCAUCGCGACUUGAAAGAACCUGUACGGCUGAGACGCGUGUGGCGAGCAGCGUGCAUGACGCUUGCCCAGACUAAGGUUUUACCACCUCCUCACCACCUUCCACUCAAGCCAUCAACUCUCCUUACUACAGCUGUCGCUUCCUCUGUCGCUUCCUCUGCAGAAUUGGUCUGAUGGAGC
Non-coding RNA from Petromyzon marinus (sea lamprey), 461 nucleotides. Lineage: Eukaryota; Metazoa; Chordata; Hyperoartia; Petromyzontiformes; Petromyzontidae. The record is from RefSeq and is a predicted model, not a curated record.